UACGUAGGGUGCGAGCGUUAAUCGGAAUUACUGGGCGUAAAGCGCGCGUAGGCGGCCCGGUAAGUCCGUUGUGAAAGUCAAAGGCUCAACCUUUGAACGCCGAUGGAUACUGCCGGGCUAGAGUCCGGAAGAGGCGAGUGGAAUUCCUGGUGUAGCGGUGGAAUGCGCAGAUAUCAGGAGGAACACCAAUAGCGAAGGCAGCUCGCUGGGACGGUACUGACGCUGAGGCGCGAAAGCGUGGGGAGCGAACAGG
This 253-nucleotide ribosomal RNA is filed under the name uncultured bacterium. RNAcentral's name for it is "partial 16S ribosomal RNA". It matches the Rfam family "Bacterial small subunit ribosomal RNA", at positions 524 to 776 of the family's 1533-position model. The record is from RNAcentral.